AGUGAACGCUGGCGGUAGGCCUAACACAUGCAAGUCGAACGGCAGCACAGGAGAGCUUGCUCUCUGGGUGGCGAGUGGCGGACGGGUGAGGAAUACAUCGGAAUCUACUUUUUCGUGGGGGAUAACGUAGGGAAACUUACGCUAAUACCGCAUACGACCUACGGGUGAAAGCAGGGGACCUUCGGGCCUUGCGCGAUUGAAUGAGCCGAUGUCGGAUUAGCUAGUUGGCGGGGUAAAGGCCCACCAAGGCGACGAUCCGUAGCUGGUCUGCGGGGAUGGUAAGCCACACUGGAACUGAAGGACGGUCCAGACUCCUACGGGAGGCAGCAGUCGGGAAUAUUGGACAAUGGGCGCAAGCCUGAUUCAGCCAUACCGCGAGGGUGAAGAAGGCCUUCGGGUUGUAAAGCCCUUUUGUUGGGAAAGAAAUCCAGCUGGCUAAUACCCGGUUGGGAUGACGGUACCCAAAGAAUAAGCACCGGCUAACUUCGUGCCAGCCGCCGCGGUAA
Molecule: ribosomal RNA, 506 nt
Filed under: uncultured bacterium
Lineage: Bacteria
Description: partial 16S ribosomal RNA
Rfam family: Bacterial small subunit ribosomal RNA
Source: RNAcentral